Long non-coding RNA from Candoia aspera, 412 nucleotides. RefSeq lists it as uncharacterized. The transcript is spliced from 2 exons. The record is from RefSeq and is a predicted model, not a curated record. NCBI's taxonomy places the organism in Eukaryota, Metazoa, Chordata, Lepidosauria, Squamata, Candoiidae.
AUCUGUAAAGGAAGAACUGGGGUGUCACUCUGGCUAGUAUGUGGAUGGCCUUUAGAGAGAAAGAGUCAAACCUAGAGGCUGGCCUGUGCUGGUGCCAGCUGCUCUUCUGCUGAUGAGCAAAGUAUGAUAUUAAGACAUGCUUAUUAUCAGACUGAGAGAAGAAAACAGUGGACUCAGCCUCCGGCUUCAUCCCUAGGCUCUCAGGAAGCAGGAGAGCAAUAACUUCUAUGUUCUGAUUUACUCUCCAACAAGGGACACCAUUAACCUAAAUAAAAGAGAACAUGGUGUGUUUUUCUUUCAAGCUGCAGUACAAAUCCAUGUAUUUUCCCAUCACGGUCUCCUUCCCUAUGAACUGAAGCUGAAUCCAAGAAAGCCAAACCAUCUGAAGAGAACAACUUGGAAGAAGCCAAAU